GAUGAACGCUGGCGGCGUGCCUAACACAUGCAAGUCGAGCGAACAGACGAGGACUUUGUUCCUUUGACGUUAGCCGCGGACGGGUGAGUAACAUGUGGAUAAUCCACCUAUCAGACUGGGAUAACUUCGGGACACCGUAGCUAAUACCGUAUAAUAUAUUUAACCGCAUGGUUUAUUUGUGAAAGACGGCUUUGCUGUCUCUUAUAGAUGGCUCCGCGCUGGAUUAGCUAGUUGGUAAGGUAACGGCCUACCAAGGCAACGAUGCGUAGCCGACCUGAGAGGGUGAUCGGCCGCACUGGAGGUGGGACACGGUCCAGAGUACUGCGGGAGGCAGCAGUAGGGAAUCUUCGGCAAUGGGCGGAAGCUUGACGGAGCGGGGCCGCGUGAGUGAUGAAGGUCUUCGGAUCGUAAAAAUCUGUUAUGAGGGAAGAACAAAUGUGUAAGUGACAAUAGACGUAGUGACGGUACCUAAUCAAGAAGCCACGGCUAACUACGUG
This 497-nucleotide ribosomal RNA is filed under the name uncultured bacterium. Its description in RNAcentral is "partial 16S ribosomal RNA". It matches the Rfam family "Bacterial small subunit ribosomal RNA", at positions 28 to 507 of the family's 1533-position model. The record is from RNAcentral.